AGGAGGAACAGCCCCAGUGGCGGGGCAGCUCUGGAAACCUGGAUUCAGCUCCGGCAGGAACUCCGAGCUCUCCGUCUGCAGGGCCUGGAGGCUCCGGGGCGGG
Molecule: non-coding RNA, 103 nt
Organism: Canis lupus familiaris (dog)
Lineage: Eukaryota; Metazoa; Chordata; Mammalia; Carnivora; Canidae
Source: Rfam